Molecule: small nucleolar RNA, 66 nt
Organism: Ictalurus punctatus (channel catfish)
Lineage: Eukaryota; Metazoa; Chordata; Actinopteri; Siluriformes; Ictaluridae
Gene: SNORD82
Rfam family: Small nucleolar RNA SNORD82
About the family: snoRNA U82 or Z25 is found in both humans and mice. U82/Z25 is a member of the C/D class of snoRNA which contain C (UGAUGA) and D (CUGA) box motifs. Most of the members of the box C/D family function in directing site-specific 2'-O-methylation of substrate RNAs.
Source: Ensembl
UGCACAGGUGAUGAGUGUUUAGGGACUUAAUCCUGACUUUGUGAUGUGGUGUUUGCUCUGAUGUGC